Molecule: ribosomal RNA, 497 nt
Filed under: uncultured bacterium
Lineage: Bacteria
Description: partial 16S ribosomal RNA
Rfam family: Bacterial small subunit ribosomal RNA
Source: RNAcentral
GAUGAACGCUGGCGGCGUGCCUAACACAUGCAAGUCGAGCGGACAGACGCGGCGCUUGCUCGUCUGACGUUAGCGGCGGGCGGGUGAGUAACGCGUGUAUCACCUCCCUAUAAGUCUGUGAUCACUUGGGAAAACCGGAGCUAAUACCGUAUAAGCUAUUGAACCGGGUGGUGCAAUAGUGAGAGACGGUUUUGCUGUCACUUUUAGAUGGAUCCGCGCCGCAUUUGCUGGUUGGGAAGGUAAAGGCUUACCAAGGCGACGAUGCGUAGCCGACGUGAGAGAGGGAUCGGCCACACGGGAACUGAGACACGGUCCAGACUCCUACGGGAGGCAGCAGUAGGGAAUCUUAGGCAAUGGGCGAAAGCCUGACGCAGCAACGCCGCGUGAGUGAUGAAGGCCUUCGGAUCGUAAAACUCUGUUAUUAGGGAAGAACCGAUUUGGAAGGAAACAUGGAGGUAUUGACGGUACCGUAUCAAAAAGCAACGGCUAACUACGUG